AGUUUCUACGGUCCGUCCUCGGGAGAACUCAGAGAAUAAAUUUGAAGAAAGAGGGAUUAAGCGUUUACUUCUGAUAUUUGCUUAUGCGUAACCUUGAUCAGUUCUUGAGAGUGGUAUACUAGACUAUAGUACUUGUUAUGGGGAUAGAGGAGAAUAAAGAUUUGUUGAAAGGGGUUGAUUGGAAGAAUGUAGGUGGUGAUGUGACUGACGCUAGUUCUGCUGCUACACCAGUUAUUAAGAAGCGGCUUCCAAAGAAAGUUAGACAAGUUCCUGAGUAUUAUUUUCUCCCUCGAAAACCCUUAAAGGUUAUCCUUCCUUUCUAUGGGGCAUGUAUUGCUGCGGGAAUUGGUACUGGGAUGUUGAUUGAAGUCUGGAUUUAACAAGAAAAUUAAAGAGGAUGGAGGGGGUGUACUUUGGAAGAUGGAAUAGUAAACGCCUGAACUUGAAGAUGAUAGGGCUUUUGCUGCGUAGCCUUAUUAGGUACUUAAACUUGAUAUAAUGUGGAUGGAGGAGGUGUACUUUGGGAGCUGGAAUAGUAAAUGUCUGAACUUGAAGAUGUUAGAGCUUUUCCUGGGUAGCCUCAUGUGGUACAUAAACUUUACAUAAUGGUAUGCACUGCCUUGUUUGUUAUGAUUUUGGAGUAUUGUGUGACUGUGUCUACGACGGUACUACCUCAAUUAAAUAGAGGCUAUGGCAUUUAUAUUUCGAAUGUACUAUGUUUUUCAUGUAUGAACUGUUUCCCUUUUGUUUUAUACUUAAUGGUCAUAAUGGUAAGCAAG
Papaver somniferum (opium poppy) is the source of this 779-nucleotide long non-coding RNA. RefSeq lists it as uncharacterized. The transcript is spliced from 4 exons. The record is from RefSeq and is a predicted model, not a curated record. NCBI's taxonomy places the organism in Eukaryota, Viridiplantae, Streptophyta, Magnoliopsida, Ranunculales, Papaveraceae.